GUCAAGUCCUUCUUUUGACCCAUUUUGCCAAAGGAAAGGAAGUUGCCUAAUAAUUAUGCACACCUGAUAUAGGGUGUUGAUGUCAUUAGACCACACCCCUUCUCAUUACAGAGAUGCACAUCACCUAAUAUGCUUAAUUGGUAGUAGGCUUUCGAGCCUAUACAGCUUGGAGUAAGACAACAUGCAUAAAGAGGAUGAUGUGGUCAAAAUACUCAUUUGCCUAAUAAUUCUGCACUCCCUGUAUUGUGUC
Molecule: long non-coding RNA, 250 nt
Filed under: Pelobates cultripes (western spadefoot toad)
Lineage: Eukaryota; Metazoa; Chordata; Amphibia; Anura; Pelobatidae
Source: RNAcentral